GCAGCUUUCAGAUGUGGCUGUAA
Molecule: non-coding RNA, 23 nt
Filed under: Mus musculus (house mouse)
Lineage: Eukaryota; Metazoa; Chordata; Mammalia; Rodentia; Muridae
Gene: mmu-miR-693-3p
Source: miRBase by way of RNAcentral